GACGAACGCUGGCGGCGCGCCUAACACAUGCAAGUCGAGCGAUGAAAUUUUAACCGAUCUCUUCGGAGAGAAGAUAAAAUGGAUUAGCGGCGGACGGGUGAGUAACACGUGAGAAACCUGCCUUUCACAAGGGGAUAGCCUCGGGAAACCGGGAUUAAUACCCUAUGACACAUUUCCUUCGCAUGGAAGAAAUGUUAAAACUCCGGUGGUGAAAGAUGGUCUCGCGCCUGAUUAGCUAGUUGGUGGGGUAACGGCCCACCAAGGCCAUGAUCAGUAACCGGCCUGAGAGGGUGAACGGUCACAUUGGAGCUGAGACACGGUCCAAACUCCUACGGGAGGCAGCAGUGGGGAAUAUUGCACAAUGGAGGAAACGCUGAUGCAGCGACGCCGCGUGAGCGAUGAAGGCUUUCGAGUCGUAAAGCUCUGUCCUAUGGGAAGAUAAUGACGGUACCAGAGGAGGAAGCCCCGGCUAACUACGUG
RNAcentral lists this ribosomal RNA (480 nucleotides) under uncultured bacterium. RNAcentral describes it as "partial 16S ribosomal RNA". It matches the Rfam family "Bacterial small subunit ribosomal RNA", at positions 28 to 507 of the family's 1533-position model. The record is from RNAcentral.